This 326-nucleotide ribosomal RNA is filed under the name uncultured bacterium. RNAcentral's name for it is "bacterial SSU rRNA". It matches the Rfam family "Bacterial small subunit ribosomal RNA", at positions 28 to 334 of the family's 1533-position model. The record is from RNAcentral.
GAUGAACGCUGGCGGCGUGCCUAACACAUGCAAGUCGAGCGAAGCGCCUUACUUGAUUUCUUCGGGAUGAAAGUAUUGUGACUGAGCGGCGGACGGGUGAGUAACGCGUGGAUAACCUGCCUCAUACAGGGGGAUAACAGUUAGAAAUGACUGCUAAUACCGCAUAAGACCACAGCACCGCAUGGUGCAGCGGGAAAAGGAGCAAUUCGCUUCAGGAUGGCCUCGCGUCCAAUUAGGUAGUUGGUGGGGUAACGGCCUACCAAGCCGACGAUCAGUAGCCGACCUGAGAGGGUGACCGGCCACAUUGGGACUGAGACACGGCUCAA